This 485-nucleotide ribosomal RNA is filed under the name uncultured bacterium. RNAcentral describes it as "bacterial SSU rRNA". It matches the Rfam family "Bacterial small subunit ribosomal RNA", at positions 26 to 507 of the family's 1533-position model. The record is from RNAcentral.
UGGCUACGAGGACGAACGCUGGCGGCGUGCUUAACACCUGCAAGUCGAGCGGAAAGGCCCUUUCGGGGGGUACUCGAGCGGCGAACGGGUGAGUAACACGUGAGUAAUCUGCCCUUGGCUUUGGGAUAACUACCGGAAACGGUGGCUAAUACCGGAUACGACCACUCCUUGCAUGAGGUGGUGGUGGAAAGUUUUUCGGCCAGGGAUGUGCUCGCGGCCUAUCAGCUUGUUGGUGGGGUAAUGGCCUACCAAGGCUUCGACGGGUAGCCGGCCUGAGAGGGUGACCGGCCACACUGGGACUGAGACACGGCCCAGACUCCUACGGGAGGCAGCAGUGGGGAAUAUUGGACAAUGGGCGGAAGCCUGAUCCAGCAACGCCGCGUGAGGGAUGACGGCCUUCGGGUUGUAAACCUCUUUCAGUACCGACGAAAGCGCCGAUGAUGGUGGUGACGGUAGGUACAGAAGAAGCACCGGCCAACUACGUG